RNAcentral lists this ribosomal RNA (323 nucleotides) under uncultured eukaryote. RNAcentral describes it as "partial 18S ribosomal RNA". It matches the Rfam family "Eukaryotic small subunit ribosomal RNA", at positions 1470 to 1796 of the family's 1831-position model. The record is from RNAcentral.
CCCUUAGAUGUUCUGGGCCGCACGCGCGCUACACUGAUGCAUUCAACGAGUUUCUUCCUGGUCCGAGAGGAAUGGGUAACCUUUUGAAAGUGCAUCGUGAUAGGGAUAGACUAUUCAAUUAUUGGUCUUCAACGAGGAAUUCCUAGUAGACGUAGUUCAUCAGACUGCAUCGAUUACGUCCCUGCCCUUUGUACACACCGCCCGUCGCUCCUACCGAUUGAAUGCUCAGGUGAGCCAUUCGGACUUUCAUCAUGCUGGUUUCCAGUUUUGAUGAAGGAAAGUCUUGCGAACCUUAUCAUUUAGAGGAAGGAGAGGUCGUAACA